CUGCUCACUCUUUGGGUCUGUGCCAUCUUUAAAAGCUGUAACACUCACUGCGAAGGUCCAUGGCUCCAUUCUUGAAAUCAGCAAAACCACAAACCCACUGGCAGGAACCAACUCUGGACACAUCUUGGGAGCUCCUCUGGGAUAUUGUCAUGUGAUGGGAAACACUCAGGCAUCAACAGGCUCACCCUUGAAAUGCAUCCUAAGCCAUUGGGACCAAUUUGACCUGCAAAUCCUGAAAAAUAGAAUCUACAAAAUACCUCCCAUGGUAACAAGAAAACAACACACAAUCAAAACAAAUGAAGUGCUUCCCAAACACCAUCUUCUUCAAGGGAGGAGACCAGCACGGAGUCACUACAAGUUGUUUCUUCUACCAACGGUACCACAAAUGGCCCCAAAGGCCCAAAUGGGAUUCAAAAUGGAGUCAGUGCUGUUACAAUAAGAUCUUCUACUCAAUAAAGAAGCAAAAGUACUCACAGCAGAGUGGGAUUGCUGUGAGAAGGAGCCAUGUAAGUAAUUUUCUCAGGAGAUAAGCAUCAAGCAAAGCCCAAGUGAGGGACAUACUACAAAAUACCUGACCACUACUGUAA
Molecule: long non-coding RNA, 587 nt
Filed under: Homo sapiens (human)
Lineage: Eukaryota; Metazoa; Chordata; Mammalia; Primates; Hominidae
Description: HSALNT0374432
Source: RNAcentral